GUGAGACUCCAACUCAAAAAAACAAGAAAGAAAGAAAGAAAGAAAGAAAGAAAGAAAGAAAGAAAAGCAUCUUUUUGUUCAGUAAUGAUGUUGUAAUUUUGCAAAAUCAAACCAAGCAAGAUCUACGUAUCUUCCCAUUCAAAGCUAGCUAGGUGGUUCUCCGUUCUCAAACAGAGACUGUAAUGUGCACCGUGCUCUACAGAACAAAUGCUAACCAUCUUUAAGGAUCUUUCUGUUAGACUCAUAGAGAUUUCCGACCCCCUUUAACUUAUGGGUAGAUCAGAACCAGGAAAAGUUGGCGAUACCAAAGGGCAGAAGGAACUUUUCUUUCAAACUUGGCCUACUAUGCAAAAACUGCGGGGGACUCACCUUAGCUCUGCACAAGACUCCAUCAUCACCUCAGGGAAGUCACUGUGGGACACUCAGUUUCCUGAUGAGCAUACAUGAGAUGGAACUCAGUCGUUUCCCACAUCUACUUAAAGUUAUCCUCAGAGACUUGGAACUGUGAGGUGUUCUCUGUCUGAGACCUCCCUGGGAGAGGGUGCGGCAGGGACAAAGUGUAGAAGACAAGACUUAUACACUGUGGCAAUGUGAGGGAAGUUCUCAGGCUCACAAAAUCUUGGCAACAAA
Molecule: non-coding RNA, 630 nt
Organism: Myodes glareolus (Bank vole)
Lineage: Eukaryota; Metazoa; Chordata; Mammalia; Rodentia; Cricetidae
Source: RefSeq, a predicted model, not a curated record